Nicotiana attenuata is the source of this 727-nucleotide long non-coding RNA. RefSeq lists it as uncharacterized. The record is from RefSeq and is a predicted model, not a curated record. The transcript has 2 exons. Lineage: Eukaryota; Viridiplantae; Streptophyta; Magnoliopsida; Solanales; Solanaceae.
AAAUACUUUUCAAUGUAACAUGACAACCAUAUAGCGGCAUACUUUUGUUUUUUUUCACUUUGCUUGCCUCAAAACUUCAUCUGAAUAUAUAGUUGAAUCUAUCAUUUCCACAAUGAUAUACUCUUCUAAAAACUGUGAGAUGGAGAGUCAACAAGAGAAAGAUAUGGAGUCUUGUUGUAGGAAAUGGAGUGAAAAGACUAUGAAUGCGUAUAUUCAUAGUCAAAUUAUGAGAAUUAGAGCAGAGGAUUUGCAACUUGGGGAAGAUAUAGCCAAGAAGCUUAGGCAGAGAGUUGUUGAUCAAGAUGUUGCCUCGUCUGUUAUGCUGUUGUCAAGGCCUAUGUUGCCUGCUUCACCUCUUAGUGGAAAAACGGCCAUAAAAUCUGCUAAUUGAUCACCAUCUAGGAAGAUUUACUGUACGCUGAGGAAUAUGGAAGACACCAUCCACAGGAACCGAAGAAUGAUGUUAAUAGAUAUGGAGAUGAAGUUCAUUUUCUUAUCACUUGCCGUUUUAUAGAUGUUGCUGUACAGUAAUACGUAAAGUAGGCAGAAUAUAGACGAAAUCUCCUCCUCCACUAUGUACCCUAUUAAACAAAGAAAAUACGUAGAUGAGAAGCACAGUUAGUGAAUAGUGACUACCUACUUACCUGUCAAUGAAAAAAUAAGUUAAUGAACACGUUGGUGCUCUACUCUGUUUAUUGUGGAUAUGAAAACGAGAUGAAUGUAAAUC